GAGUUUGAUCUUGGCUCAGGACGAACGCUGGCGGUGUGCCUAAUACAUGCAAGUCGCACGAACCUUCGGGUUAGUGGCGGACGGCUGAGUAAUACGUAGAUAACGUGCCUUAAACUGGGGGAUAACAGAGGGAAACUUCUGCUAAUACCGCAUACGUGCCGGGUUGAAAUACCCGUCAUUAAAGCUCCGGCGGUUUAAGAUCGGUCUGCGGCAGAUUAGCUUGUUGGUGGGGUAAUGGCCUACCAAGGCUACGAUCUGUAGCUGGUCUGAGAGGAUGAUCAGCCAGAGUGGAACUGAGACACGGUCCACACUCCUACGGGAGGCAGCAGUAGGGAAUAUUGCGCAAUGGGCGAAAGCCUGACGCAGCAACACCGCGUGGAGGAUGACGUCUCUAGGGAUGUAAACUCCUGUCAGCAGGGAAUAUAAUGACUGUACCUGCAGAGGAAGCACCGGCUAACUUCGUGCCAGCCGCCGCGGU
This 478-nucleotide ribosomal RNA is filed under the name uncultured delta proteobacterium. RNAcentral's name for it is "bacterial SSU rRNA". It matches the Rfam family "Bacterial small subunit ribosomal RNA", at positions 9 to 521 of the family's 1533-position model. Lineage: Bacteria; Deltaproteobacteria. The record is from RNAcentral.